Molecule: long non-coding RNA, 757 nt
Filed under: Numida meleagris (helmeted guineafowl)
Lineage: Eukaryota; Metazoa; Chordata; Aves; Galliformes; Numididae
Description: lncRNA (ENSNMEG00000013012.1)
Source: RNAcentral
UGCGAGUUUUCUCUUGGCUUGUUUACAAUCUGUUCCUACAGCACUUUUUUCAGAAUGAUGGAUUCCCCAUCACCUCAGUAUUCCAAGUCAUUAAACUCAUGAUUCAUCCAAUCCGGCAUUGAGUCCCUAGAACUAAUUAGGUUCAAACCCAUUGCUUUAACUGUAUUUGUGCCAUUUUCUUCAGCCUGAAUUUCUGCUUGCUAGCACAGCUCAGUAACCCUGGAAUGUGACAAUUUCCAGGCUUCUUUGGAGCAAAAAAAAGUUUAUAAAUUUUCAAAAUCUACCAUCACAUUUAUUUCAGGAUUUCUAGAGGAUAAACAACCUCUCUGAAGCCUUCAAGACAGUAUGUCUGAGUGCACCACAACCUAAAAUCUAUCAUAAGUAAUCCAUUGCUCAGGAUUUUCAGAGCCAUCUGCUCCUGCUAAUAUCCCAUUGAAAAUGAAGAAUAUAUUCAGCUGCUUCUUCUAUACACAUAAAUUAAAAUCCAUGCAGUGGAUCCCAGAAAUAAGUAACAUCUUUAAACAGACAACACAACACACACCAGUCGGCAAGAGCUGAUUUCUUUUGUUUCCAUUUGUGGAGCAGCCAAAUUAUACACUGCAGUUUGAACAAAUCUAUUCAUAUGAUUUCAUCAAAGAUCUUCAUUUGUGGUGGUAAGUUCCACUAUACCACUUGAUAGGAAACAUUUCUGGCUUCCGGAGGGUGAAGGAGAUCACAUUUCUGUAAGUGGAGUUGGCUACAUGUACACUUGUUCUCU